RNAcentral lists this ribosomal RNA (137 nucleotides) under uncultured eukaryote. RNAcentral describes it as "partial 18S ribosomal RNA". It matches the Rfam family "Eukaryotic small subunit ribosomal RNA", at positions 1299 to 1458 of the family's 1831-position model. The record is from RNAcentral.
UGGUGGAGUGAUUUGUCUGCUUAAUUGCGAUAACGAACGAGACCUUAACCUGCUAAAUAGCCAGGCUUGCUCUUGCAGGUCGCCAGCUUCUUAGAGGGACUAUCGGCUCAAGCCGAUGGAAGUUUGAGGCAAUAACA